Schistosoma haematobium is the source of this 46-nucleotide non-coding RNA. The record is from Rfam. NCBI's taxonomy places the organism in Eukaryota, Metazoa, Platyhelminthes, Trematoda, Strigeidida, Schistosomatidae.
GCACUGCUGAGGAGUCUCAAAAUAGGACGAGACGGUCGUCAAGUGC